CAUGGUUGUCGUCAGCUCGUGUCGUGAGAUGUUGGGUUAAGUCCCGCGACGAGCGCAACCCUCGACCUUAGUUGCCAGCAUUCAGUUGGGCACUCUAAGGUGACUGCCGGCUAAAAGUCGGAGGAAGGUGGGGAUGACGUCAAAUCAUCAUGCCCCUUAUGACCUGGGCUACACACGUGCUACAAUGGGCGGUACAAAGGGUCGCGAACCCGCGAGGGGGAGCCAAUCCCAAAAAGCCGCUCUCAGUUCGGAUUGCAGGCUGCAACUCGCCUGCAUGAAGCCGGAAUCGCUAGUAAUCGCGGAUCAGCAUGCCGCGGUGAAUACGUUCCCGGGCCUU
RNAcentral lists this ribosomal RNA (337 nucleotides) under uncultured Anoxybacillus sp. RNAcentral describes it as "bacterial SSU rRNA". It matches the Rfam family "Bacterial small subunit ribosomal RNA", at positions 1044 to 1382 of the family's 1533-position model. The record is from RNAcentral. Lineage: Bacteria; Bacillati; Bacillota; Bacilli; Caryophanales; Anoxybacillaceae.